UGGGGAAUUUUGGACAACGGGGGAAACCCUGAUCCAGCCAUCCCGCGUGUGCGAUGAAGGCCUUCGGGUUGUAAAGCACUUUUGGCAGGAAAGAAACGUCGCGGGUUAAUACCCCGCGAAACUGACGGUACCUGCAGAAUAAGCACCGGCUAACUACGUGCCAGCAGCCGCGGUAAUACGUAGGGUGCAAGCGUUAAUCGGAAUUACUGGGCGUAAAGCGUGCGCAGGCGGUUCGGAAAGAAAGAUGUGAAAUCCCAGAGCUUAACUUUGGAACUGCAUUUUUAACUACCGGGCUAGAGUGUGUCAGAGGGAGGUGGAAUUCCGCGUGUAGCAGUGAAAUGCGUAGAUAUGCGGAGGAACACCGAUGGCGAAGGCAGCCUCCUGGGAUAACACUGACGCUCAUGCACGAAAGCGUGGGGAGCAAACAGGAUUAGAUACCCUGGUAGUCCACGCCCCUAAACGAUGUCAACUAGCUGUUGGGGCCUUCGGGCCUUGGUAGCGCAGCUAACGCGU
RNAcentral lists this ribosomal RNA (513 nucleotides) under uncultured bacterium. RNAcentral describes it as "partial 16S ribosomal RNA". It matches the Rfam family "Bacterial small subunit ribosomal RNA", at positions 355 to 860 of the family's 1533-position model. The record is from RNAcentral.